UACGUAGGGGGCAAGCGUUGUCCGGAUUUAUUGGACGUAAAGAGCGUGUAGGCGGCCAGGUAGGUCUGCUGUGAAAACUCGAGGCUCAACCUCGAGAUGUCGGCGGAAACCAUCUGGCUAGAGUCCGGAAGAGGAGAAUGGAAUUCCCGGUGUAGUGGUGAAAUGCGUAGAGAUCGGGAGGAACACCAGUGGCGAAGGCGGCUACCUGGACCAGCACUGACACUGAGGCACGAAAGCGUGGGGAGCAAACAGG
RNAcentral lists this ribosomal RNA (253 nucleotides) under uncultured bacterium. RNAcentral's name for it is "partial 16S ribosomal RNA". It matches the Rfam family "Bacterial small subunit ribosomal RNA", at positions 524 to 776 of the family's 1533-position model. The record is from RNAcentral.